GACGAACCGUGCGAACGUUGUUCGGAUUCACUGGGCUUAAAGGGCUCGUAGGCGGCCAACUAAGUCAGACGUGAAAUCCCUCGGCUUAACCGGGGAACUGCGUCUGAUACUGGAUGGCUUGAGUUUGGGAGAGGGAUGCGGAAUUCCAGGUGUAGCGGUGAAAUGCGUAGAUAUCUGGAGGAACACCGGUGGCGAAGGCGGCAUCCUGGACCAACACUGACGCUGAGUGAGCGAAAGCCAGGGGAGCAAACGGG
This 254-nucleotide ribosomal RNA is filed under the name uncultured bacterium. Its description in RNAcentral is "partial 16S ribosomal RNA". It matches the Rfam family "Bacterial small subunit ribosomal RNA", at positions 524 to 776 of the family's 1533-position model. The record is from RNAcentral.